This 29-nucleotide non-coding RNA is filed under the name Rattus norvegicus (Norway rat). Lineage: Eukaryota; Metazoa; Chordata; Mammalia; Rodentia; Muridae. The record is from RNAcentral.
GCUUAUGAAGCGCCUCAGGCUGUGUCUGU